UACGUAGGUGGCAAGCGUUGUCCGGAAUUAUUGGGCGUAAAGCGCGCGCAGGUGGUUUCUUAAGUCUGAUGUGAAAGCCCACGGCUCAACCGUGGAGGGUCAUUGGAAACUGGGGAACUUGAGUGCAGGAGAGAAGAGUGGAAUUCCACGUGUAGCGGUGAAAUGCGUAGAGAUGUGGAGGAACACCAGUGGCGAAGGCGACUCUUUGGCCUGUAACUGACGCUGAGACACGAAAGCGUGGGUAGCAAACAGG
Molecule: ribosomal RNA, 253 nt
Filed under: uncultured bacterium
Lineage: Bacteria
Description: partial 16S ribosomal RNA
Rfam family: Bacterial small subunit ribosomal RNA
Source: RNAcentral